This 433-nucleotide ribosomal RNA is filed under the name uncultured bacterium. Its description in RNAcentral is "partial 16S ribosomal RNA". It matches the Rfam family "Bacterial small subunit ribosomal RNA", at positions 29 to 507 of the family's 1533-position model. The record is from RNAcentral.
AACGAACGCUGGCGGCAGGCCUAACACAUGCAAGUCGAGCGAGCAUUUCGGUGCUAGCGGCGGACGGGUGAGUAACGCGUGGGAACGUGCCCUUUUCUGCGGAAUAGUCCUGGGAAACUGGGGGUAAUACCACAUACGCCCUUUUGGGGAAAGAUUUAUCGGAGAAGGAUCGGCCCGCGUUGGAUUAGGUAGUUGGUGGGGUAAUGGCCCACCAAGCCGACGAUCCAUAGCUGGUUUGAGAGGAUGAUCAGCCACACUGGGACUGAGACACGGCCCAGACUCCUACGGGAGGCAGCAGUGGGGAAUCUUAGACAAUGGGGGCAACCCUGAUCUAGCCAUGCCGCGUGAGUGAUGAAGGCCUUAGGGUUGUAAAGCUCUUUCAGCUGGGAAGAUAAUGACGGUACCAGCAGAAGAAGCCCCGGCUAACUCCGUG